Molecule: long non-coding RNA, 320 nt
Filed under: Mustela putorius furo (domestic ferret)
Lineage: Eukaryota; Metazoa; Chordata; Mammalia; Carnivora; Mustelidae
Description: lncRNA (ENSMPUG00000028021.1)
Source: RNAcentral
AGUGAAUAUUAAUGUUCAGCAGAUCAUGAGGAACUACAAGUUCUCCAAUGUAAGAAGCCGAGUGGGAGAUGAGAGAGCAAGAAACCUUUCCUCAGACAAAUUGCACUUGAAAGAUGAAAAUAUAAAUCAACAGUCAGUAUCUUCUGUUUCUACCUUUGACAGAUGAAGAUAACAAACACAACUGGGACCUUGUGUGGUUCAGGGCUCUGAGAUAAGGACUUUAACCAAGUUUGGAACCUCCUAAAAUACCACUCACUUAGAAUCUGGGACUGAGCCAUGACCUUCUAUUGUUCAAAGGCAUUUUCCUUUGUAAUAAUUCC